CUUAUAAAAGCGACCUCAGUUCGGAUUGAAGGCUGAAAUUCGCCUUCAUGAAGUCGGAAUUGCUAGUAAUGGCAGGUCAGCAUACUGCCGUGAAUACGUUCCCGGGCCUUGUACACACCGCCCGUCACACCAUGAGAGUUGGAGAUACCCGAAGCCUAUGAGCUAACUUUUAGAGGCAGUAGUCGAAGGUAGAAUCAAUGAUUGGGGUGAAGUCGUAACAAGGUAAC
Molecule: ribosomal RNA, 227 nt
Filed under: uncultured bacterium
Lineage: Bacteria
Description: partial 16S ribosomal RNA
Rfam family: Bacterial small subunit ribosomal RNA
Source: RNAcentral